GUAGGUGAACCUGCGGAAGGAUCAUUAACACGUAUCCAAACGUAAAACCCCCCGUGAAUAUUGAUAGCUUGCUCUCCGUGUCUAGACGGUGAUAUUUCGUCGAGCAAAGUGGACCACCUCUCUUCCUGAGACAUGGACUAAGCCGAUUUUACGAAGGAUCACCGGGGCGACGGAUCAAAAUCAACGAGCGGUUCGCAAGUAAGGCUUGGUUGCCCCUAUUUCUAACGUCUGACAGGGGCGGAGGUGAUAG
RNAcentral lists this unclassified non-coding RNA (250 nucleotides) under plant metagenome. RNAcentral describes it as "partial contains small subunit ribosomal RNA, internal transcribed spacer 1, and 5.8S ribosomal RNA". The record is from RNAcentral.